Molecule: non-coding RNA, 338 nt
Organism: Pelobates cultripes (western spadefoot toad)
Lineage: Eukaryota; Metazoa; Chordata; Amphibia; Anura; Pelobatidae
Source: the annotation of a GenBank genome assembly
CUCAUCUCUAUGUUUGUGAUUUUUGCAAAUGUCUUCUUGUUAGUGUAACCACUUUCAUCUUUUCAUUUGUCCUUUAUCUCUCCUGUGUUUGUUGCCCAGAGCUGUGUUAGUCACCCACGCUCGCCCCCUCCGGUCUGUGGCCACCUCCCCCGGGUGCACAGACCAUCGUGACUAGUCAGUCGAGCACUGUAGACUUUCCUACUUCUUCUUCCCUCUCACUUGGUCUCCUUUACUUGGCAGACCUCGCUUGGUCAAAAAGGGGCUAGUACAUGCUAGACCAGCUAAGGGGUAUUUGGCUUGUGAUAUUGUUAAAGAGAGGGCAGGGGAAGAAGCUAUGC